This 253-nucleotide ribosomal RNA is filed under the name uncultured bacterium. Its description in RNAcentral is "partial 16S ribosomal RNA". It matches the Rfam family "Bacterial small subunit ribosomal RNA", at positions 524 to 776 of the family's 1533-position model. The record is from RNAcentral.
GACAGAGGGUGCAAACGUUGCUCGGAAUUACUGGGCGUAAAGCGCGUGUAGGCGGGCCGGAAAGUCGGGCGUGAAAUCCCUGGGCUCAACCCAGGAACUGCACUCGAAACUUCCGGUCUAGAGUGGUGGAGAGGGAAGUGGAAUUCCUGGUGUAGAGGUGAAAUUCGUAGAUAUUCGGAAGAACACCAGUGGCGAAGGCGACUUACUGGACGACUGUUGACGCUGAGGUGCGAAAGCGUGGGGAGCAAACAGG